RNAcentral lists this ribosomal RNA (301 nucleotides) under uncultured bacterium. RNAcentral's name for it is "partial 16S ribosomal RNA". It matches the Rfam family "Bacterial small subunit ribosomal RNA", at positions 509 to 807 of the family's 1533-position model. The record is from RNAcentral.
CAGUCGCCGCGGUAAUACAGAGGGUGCGAGCGUUAAUCGGAUUUACUGGGCGUAAAGCGUGCGUAGGCGGCUAAUUGAGUCGGAUGUGAAAUCCCCGAGCUUAACUUGGGAAUUGCAUUCGAUACUGGUUAGCUAGAGUGUGGGAGAGGAUGGUAGAAUUCCAGGUGUAGCGGUGAAAUGCGUAGAGAUCUGGAGGAAUACCGAUGGCGAAGGCAGCCAUCUGGCCUAACACUGACGCUGAGGUACGAAAGCAUGGGGAGCAAACAGGAUUAGAGACCCGAGUAGUCCCUGUCUCUUAUAC